This 2414-nucleotide long non-coding RNA is filed under the name Triticum aestivum (bread wheat). RNAcentral describes it as "long non-coding RNA (TAES_LNC027971)". Lineage: Eukaryota; Viridiplantae; Streptophyta; Magnoliopsida; Poales; Poaceae. The record is from RNAcentral.
UGUCUUGCUAAUGCGAUAAGAUUCACGCCUCCACGCGUUAUUAAGUUCCCUAUGGUCUACAAAAUGAAUUCAACAUAUGGUAGUUAGUGAAUAUCAACAGCCACUGCAUGUGGCAAAAUUUUGUCUACAACUCAUGGAGAUGACAUUGGCACAAAAUAUAAGAAAACAGUUCCACAAGUUAAAUGCCGCAAAUAUUAUUCAUCAACAUGUAGGUAAACAAAUUACCAGAUUUCGACAAGCAGGGCUGUUGAACCUCUAUAUCUAACACAAUGUCUUGGAUUUUUUUCAUAUGCUUAGCUGCACGACUUUGUGUUUGGUCAGGUUCCUUUGAUAUAUGACUUAGAUCGAUGGAUCUGAUGUCGUCUGCAACAUGUCAAAAUCAUUAAACACAAAGACCAUAAUGUUUGUCGCACCACCUGUAUAUCAGGUCAGAAUCGAUGUUAGAUAAGCAUCCAUGGGUAAUACCAGUUAGCUUUGUCAGACCAUCGUUAUCUUCGUUUGGAGGUUCACCGCCUAUAGGUUACCAAUAUGACAAAAUUGAUACAUGUUGUAAAUGAAACUGACCUUUAUUAAGUGCACUAUUGGAAAUUUAAAUAAGUAUGAGUUGGUACCAAUAGUAUUUCUGCCAGCUACAUUCGUGCGCCAAUCAAGACUUGGAUAUUUGGAACCCAACAAUGAAUCAUCAUGAUGGUCUUUAAUCCGUUGCGAACUUGUGCCACCUGUAGAGUUGUACCCAGUAAAAAAAGUAAAUCAAAUAUAUUAAGGUAUUUGUAAUGCGGCUGAGCGAGUACCACCUUCAUUUAUACUAAAAUCCAAAUUCUUUAUGUUCGGAUCGGUGAAUAAAGCCUCAUUAUGCUCUCCAUCCGGAAACGACAAUGUUAAAUCUGUAGAGUAAUAACCAUCAUGAAUAUAAGGACAAUGAUAUAAACGUCGUAUCUACAUGGCAACAUUACCAACAAUAUUCACACAAGCAAUAUCCCCACCAUUUUGAACUAUGGGUAAGAUGCUUGCAUUGUUAUCUUCAACUAUUGUAGAGCUUGUAAGGCCUGAAAAGCAUUAUGAUGUAGUUUUGUGAAUAUCAGAAAUGCACAGAACUCAUGUGUAGCACAUUAUGAUAGCUAGAAGCAUGCCCGUAUAAUUAACUUCAACAGUUAUCAAGCUUUUAAGGCCUGCAAAAGAUGAUAAUAAAAGCUUGCGAAUAACAUAGAAAUGCAGCAUACCCGUAGUAACGCCCUCUUCUGGUUGCUGAUCAACCGCCUUGCUUCUUGAAUUACCCAUAAGGACCUAUGCAAUUACACACAACUUACAAUUAAUGACCUCUGCCUGCUGUGAAGUAAGGAUGAGGAUUCAUUUGACUGCUCGUGCGUUGACAAUAUAGUAGCCGUCCUCAAAAUAAAAUAUAGGGAUUACUGAUGUUCUAUAUCAUUUAACUGCUGUAGUGGCAAUGACAAUAUGGUAAUCAUUUAUGGUGUGCUGGCAUGAGUCUAUAGAAUCAUUGUGUUCUCAGCAUAGCAAUUGCCACCAGAGCAUUGUAAUUACUGAACAGGUAGUGUGCAUUGUCUAAAGAGUAUGAGAACAAUAUAGUUGGUAGUUGGUACGUCUGCAAUGUCAGGCCAAGUUUUAUUUCCCAUUCAAAAUGGUGGUUCAUUUGGUAGGAUCAAGUUUUUUCACCUUAUUAUUGUUUAUGGUCAGACUGUAGGUGGACUGAAUCAAUUUCAACCAUCUGAUGAACAUCUGGCAUACAAACAUGACUAUUUCCUGUUGGCAUAGAAACCUUAACCGUUGCAUGGAAACUAUCGGGCAAGUGUCAUAACUACCUUAUGUUUGUGUCACUUUUUGCAUGUGAUGCUGUUUCGGGGCUGGAAACUGGAGAUCCUCUGAAGUUGUGAGCUGCAAACUCGAUGCACUUGCCAGAUGCUGCUGCUGAUGACACCGUACUCGAGGGCCGUCACCAGCCCCAAACUUAAAUGACUGUUGCCACUUGAUGCUUAUACUGACACUGGCAAUGAGAUGAUUCACCACCUGCACGAAUUAGGGGCUGACAAAGUGAGAAAAACAGGUGCGUCUACGUUGAUACAUUGAUGAAUGGUUUUAUUUCCAAUUCAAAACGGUGGUUCAUCUGGGAGGGUCAAGUUUUUUCACCUUGUUAUUGUAUAUAGUCAGACUGUAGUUCGACUCAAUCAAUUUCAACCAUGUUUCACAUCACCUGGAAUAGAAACAUUGACUAUUUACUGUUGGCAUAAGAUCCUUAACAGUUGCAUGGAAACUAUUGGAUUCAAGUGUCAUAACUACCUUAUGUUUGUGUCACUGUUUGCAUGUGAUGCUGUUUUGGGGCUGGAAACUGGAGAUCCUCUGAAGUUGUGAGCUGCAAACUCGAUGCACUUGCCAGAUGCUGCUGCUGAUGACACCGUCCC